RNAcentral lists this ribosomal RNA (477 nucleotides) under Thelohanellus sp. AUM5. Its description in RNAcentral is "SSU rRNA". It matches the Rfam family "Eukaryotic small subunit ribosomal RNA", at positions 449 to 865 of the family's 1831-position model. The record is from RNAcentral. Lineage: Eukaryota; Metazoa; Cnidaria; Myxozoa; Bivalvulida; Myxobolidae.
UCUAGACAGUAGGAGGUGGUGAAGAGAAUUACUAGGUGGCGACUCAAUGAGUUGCCAGUUUGGAAUGAACGUAACUCAAGAAAUUCGAUGAGAAACAACUGGAGGGCAAGUCCUGGUGCCAGCAGCCGCGGUAAUUCCAGCUCCAGUAGUCUGCGCUAAAGUUGUUGCGUUUAAAACGCUCGUAGUUGGAUCACGCAGCUGUGCUUAGUAAUCUGAGUCGGCUGGCCACUCGACGCCGUUUCGACGAAAUCUUGUGCCACCGGUCAGAUGCAACGCUGAGCACUGCUAGUUGCACGUGAGAUGAAUUGUUGGCCUUGAAUGCGCCGGUAUUCUCGUCUUGCGGAGUGUGCCUUGAAUAAAACAGAGUGCUUAAAGCAGGUCAUUGCCUGAAUGUUAUAGCAUGGAACGAACAAUCGUGUAUUAGCGUGAGUCGCAGUUUGGUAGCGAGCCUCGGGUUUGUUGUCAGACUAGUCGCAC